CCCUUAGAUGUUCUGGGCUGCACGCGCGCUACACUGAUGCGCUCAACGAGUUUACGACCUUGCCCGGAAGGGUUGGGUAAUCUUUUUAAAACGCAUCGUGAUGGGGAUAGAUUAUUGCAAUUAUUAAUCUUCAACGAGGAAUGCCUAGUAGGCGCAAGUCAUCAGCUUGCGUCGAUUACGUCCCUGCCCUUUGUACACACCGCCCGUCGCUCCUACCGAUUGGGUGUGCUGGUGAAAUGUUCGGAUCGGCCGUUUGUCGCGGUUUCCGCGGCUCGUGGCUGAGAAGUUCAUUAAACCCUCCCACCUAGAGGAAGGAGAAGUCGUAACA
Molecule: ribosomal RNA, 328 nt
Filed under: uncultured eukaryote
Lineage: Eukaryota
Description: partial 18S ribosomal RNA
Rfam family: Eukaryotic small subunit ribosomal RNA
Source: RNAcentral